Molecule: ribosomal RNA, 786 nt
Filed under: uncultured bacterium
Lineage: Bacteria
Description: bacterial SSU rRNA
Rfam family: Bacterial small subunit ribosomal RNA
Source: RNAcentral
AGAGUUUGAUCCUGGCUCAGAACGAACGCUGGCGGCGUGCUUAACACAUGCAAGUCGAGUGCGCGGUUGUAGCAAUACAACUGGCGCACGGCGCACGGGUGCGUAACACGUGGGUAAUCUGCCCUCUGAUGGGGAAUAACUCGCCGAAAGGCGAGCUAAUUCCGCAUAAUAUUCCGAGAACUUUGGUUUUUGGACUGAAAGGCGUAAGUCGUCGGAGGAGGAGCCCGCGCACGAUUAGCUAGUUGGUAGGGUAAUGGCCUACCAAGGCUUUGAUCGUUAGCUGGUCUGAGAGGAUGGCCAGCCACACUGGAACUGAGACACGGUCCAGACUCCUACGGGAGGCAGCAGUGGGGAAUCUUGCACAAUGGGCGAAAGCCUGAUGCAGCGACGCCGCGUGGGGGAUGAAGCAUUUCGGUGUGUAAACCCCUUUCGAUCCGGACGAAAACCUCGCAAGAGGAUUGACGGUACGGAUAUAAGAAGCCCCGGCUAACUACGUGCCAGCAGCCGCGGUAAGACGUAGGGGGCCAGCGUUGUUCGGAAUUACUGGGUGUAAAGGGUUCGUAGGCGGUGCGGCAAGUUGGGAGUGAAAUCUCUGGGCUCAACCCAGAGGCUGCUUCCAAAACUGCUGUGCUUGAGUGUGAGAGAGGCUCGUGGAAUUGCAGGUGUAGCGGUGAAAUGCGUAGAUAUCUGCAGGAACACCCGUGGCGAAAGCGGCGAGCUGGAUCACUACUGACGCUGAGGAACGAAAGCUAGGGGAGCAAACAGGAUUAGAUACCCCCGUAGUCC